RNAcentral lists this long non-coding RNA (114 nucleotides) under Neodiprion lecontei (redheaded pine sawfly). Its description in RNAcentral is "uncharacterized LOC124294162". The record is from RNAcentral. Lineage: Eukaryota; Metazoa; Arthropoda; Insecta; Hymenoptera; Diprionidae.
UACAUAAAUAAAUCGUGAAAAAGCAAUAGUGAGCAAGCGUCGAGCAGGUAUACGAGCGGUUUUUUGAAGUUUUCAACCAGUUUUUUGAAGAGUCUGAACCAGUUUUUUGAAGUU